This is a long non-coding RNA of Austrofundulus limnaeus, 384 nucleotides long. RefSeq lists it as uncharacterized. The record is from RefSeq and is a predicted model, not a curated record. The transcript is spliced from 4 exons. Lineage: Eukaryota; Metazoa; Chordata; Actinopteri; Cyprinodontiformes; Rivulidae.
GGAACAGAUGGAAUCCAGUACCUGGUGGGAUUGGUACAUGAUGAUUUUGGUCAAGAUUCUGGAUUUGACUUGGAUCAGGAAACCACCCAGGCUACACCACCAAGUCUUACAGAGGCCUAAAGUUGGAUGGAAUGGCACGACCUAACCUUUUGUACUGAGCAGCUGAUGGAAAAAAAAUCUGAAUAAGUAGACGGGGCAGCAUCGAUCUGUGGCGUUUCUGUCGACAGUCAGCACCUCACCAUCCUGACACAGAGGAGCUAGUUCCACACAGGAGGAGCACACUGGAGGAAACAAGCAGAUUUUAUGUGGACAGCAGCCGGUGUCGUCAGCCAUGCUGAUGAUCAUCUCUCCUGUUCGAUGGCACACGGGCGUCGGCAUGCUGGA